GUAGGGAAUAUUGGGCAAUGGAAGGAAUUCUGACCCAGCCAUGCCGCGUGCAGGAAUACAGUCCUAUGGACUUUAAACUGCUUUUAUUAUAGAGUAACCUGGGGGACGUGUCCCCCACUGCAAGUAUAUAAUGAAUAAGCAUCGGCUAACUCCGUGCCAGCAGCCGCGGUAAUACGGGGGAUGCAAGCGUUAUCCGGAUUUAUUGGGUUUAAAGGGUGCGCAGGCUGAUCGGUAAGUCAUGGGUGAAAAGUCACUGCUUAACAGUGAUCGUGCCUAUGAUACUGCCGGACUAGAGUUUAAGAGGUGUAACUGGAAUGUGAUGUGUAGCGGUGAAAUGCUUAGAUAUGUCACAGAACGCCAAUCGUGAAGACAGGUUACAAACUUAAUACUGACGCUCAUGCACGAAAGCGUGGGGAUCAAACAGGAUUAGAUACCCGUGUAGUCC
This 445-nucleotide ribosomal RNA is filed under the name uncultured bacterium. RNAcentral's name for it is "partial 16S ribosomal RNA". It matches the Rfam family "Bacterial small subunit ribosomal RNA", at positions 354 to 796 of the family's 1533-position model. The record is from RNAcentral.